UACGUAGGGUGCAAGCGUUGUCCGGAAUUAUUGGGCGUAAAGAGCUCGUAGGCGGUCUGUCGCGUCUGCUGUGAAAACUCAGGGCUUAACCCUGAGCUUGCAGUGGGUACGGGCAGACUAGAGUGCGGUAGGGGAGACUGGAAUUCCCGGUGUAGCGGUGAAAUGCGUAGAGAUCGGGAGGAACACCAGCGGCGAAGGCGGCAAACUGGAUAGGCACUGACACUCAACAACGAAAGCGUGGGGAGCAAACAGG
RNAcentral lists this ribosomal RNA (253 nucleotides) under uncultured bacterium. Its description in RNAcentral is "partial 16S ribosomal RNA". It matches the Rfam family "Bacterial small subunit ribosomal RNA", at positions 524 to 776 of the family's 1533-position model. The record is from RNAcentral.